GAAGUAUGGAAGGCAGGGGUAGCAAGGCGGAGCUGUGCCCUGUCACGGCACACAGAGAAUGCCCAUGGAUUUUCACAAAUGCUGUUAAAAUGUGAAAAGAAGGUGUUUCUUUUUUCUUCAAUCUGAGCUUCAAGCUAAUAUGGGCAUUCAGCUAAAUCCCUCCUGGGUCCUGAAACAGUAUGUGGUUUUGGAUUUCAAAGAUAAUCCCUACAACUUCUGGGAGAGGUGCAAGUAUCAACCAGUUGGAGACACAGGGAAAGGGUGAUAUAAUGCAGAAAGUGACUUGAACAAAUUUACACAGAAGGCAGUGAAGUGUGAUUCAAAUUCAAGCAGUCUAGACUGUGCCCCACACAACUCUGCAGCAUAACCUUGCAGUAUGAAAAUAAUGCCUCUCAUGCAGAGUUAUCAAAAGCAAGGAAAGUUUGAGAAGCUUUCACAGCCAAGAAGAGCCUGAAGAGACAUGAUAAACAAAUAAAAUGGUGAAUCCUGGAUGCAGCCCUGGAAAAACAACAAAGCGACCUCAGGUUAUGUCUUCUUUUAUAAGACUACCCACUGCCUCUUCUCAAGUAUAUCUGAAGUAUGGCUGGUUGGAGUAUAUCAGGACCCUCAGAGGAGAAAAGCAUAUAAAACCAGCACACCUGAACCCAGAAUACGUUAUUUGCCUUUUUCUCCAAAAAGGCUUUCCAGCAAGUGCUCUUGGUAAAACGAUCUUGACAAAGUUUUGGAGAGAAGAGUGAUGCUCCAACAUAAAACAGUCUGGAAUUAAGCAGCCGAGCUGUAUUCACAGUUGCUCUUCACAUUUGUCAGAAACGUGGAGCUGAUUAAAUAGAGCUAAUUCUCAAAGGCAAUAACAACUGGCCUGAAAGUGACCCUCUGCAUACAAAUCAGCCAACCCCGAGUCUACAGCCCCAACCGCUUCCUUUUCUAACUCUCCCACACCAAGCCAAUGUUUCCCCUGCCCUACGUCACUCAGGGUCAGGAACCAGACAGCUAGAGACCACUGCUGGAGCCCAGAGCCUGCAACAUUAUUCAAACUGGCUAAUCCUAAAUUGCUUACUCUGCCCUGCCCUUCCUUUCUGGCAGAAACCCCAAUAAAGGCUGUGGCCUAGGCCUUCUCA
RNAcentral lists this long non-coding RNA (1118 nucleotides) under Homo sapiens (human). Its description in RNAcentral is "long intergenic non-protein coding RNA 1440". The record is from RNAcentral. Lineage: Eukaryota; Metazoa; Chordata; Mammalia; Primates; Hominidae.